RNAcentral lists this non-coding RNA (218 nucleotides) under Listeria aquatica. Its description in RNAcentral is "T-box sequence". It matches the Rfam family "T-box leader". From Rfam's summary of the family: Uncharged tRNA acts as the effector for transcription antitermination of genes in the T-box leader family. The record is from RNAcentral. Lineage: Bacteria; Bacillati; Bacillota; Bacilli; Caryophanales; Listeriaceae.
GUUAACACGGAAGAAAAGUACAUUCAGUUUCUUUUUCUAGAGAGUCUGUGGAUGGUGAAAACAGAUAAAUGGGCUGAGUCGAAUGGGCUUCCUGAGGACUGACUGUGAACACGAAAAGUAGCCGUCAGCGGCAUAAAGCCGUUAUCUUUUUUUUAAGUGCUUUUUGCAAUGGCAAGAAGUAACAGGGUGGCACCGCGGAAAAUAAAUUCGUCCCUAGC